GACGAACGCUGGCGGCGUGCUUAACACAUGCAAGUCGAACGAAGUGGCGAACGGGUGAGUAAGGCGUGAGCCACCUGCCCUUCAGAGGGGAAGCAAAGUCGGAAACGAAUGCUAAUACCGCAUACGGAAGGAGGGGAGGGCGUCUGCUUCGCUAGUUGGGGGGGUAACGGCCCACCAAGGGGAUGAUCAGUAGCCGGUCUGGGAGGGUGAACGGCCACAUUGGGACUGAGACACGGCCCAGACUCCUACGGGAGGCAGCAGGGGGGAAUCUUCCGCCAUGGACGAAAGUCUGACGGAGCAACGCCGCGUGAGUGAUGACGGCCUUCGGGUUGUAAAGCUCUGUUAAUCGGGACGCGGUACCGGAAUAGAAAGCCACGGCUAACUACGUGCCAGCAGCCGCGGUAAUAC
Molecule: ribosomal RNA, 408 nt
Filed under: uncultured bacterium
Lineage: Bacteria
Description: partial 16S ribosomal RNA
Rfam family: Bacterial small subunit ribosomal RNA
Source: RNAcentral